RNAcentral lists this ribosomal RNA (468 nucleotides) under uncultured bacterium. RNAcentral describes it as "partial 16S ribosomal RNA". It matches the Rfam family "Bacterial small subunit ribosomal RNA", at positions 28 to 507 of the family's 1533-position model. The record is from RNAcentral.
GACGAACGCUGGCGGCGGGCUUAACACAUGCAAGUCGAACGGAAAGGCCCUGCUUUUUUGGUGUUCUCGAGUGGCGAACGGGGGAGUAACACGUGAGUAACCUGCCCUUGACUUUGGGAUAGCUUCAGGAAAGGGGGGCUAAUACCGUAUAGCAUCUGCUGCUGGAGGGUGGGGGUUGGAACUUUGAGGCUGGUGGGGCUGGACGCGCGGCUUAUCAGCUUGUUGGUGGGGUAGGGGUUUACCAAGGCUUUGACGGGUAGCCGGCAUGGGAGGGUGACCGGGCACAUUGGGCCUACGGUAGGCACCAGACGGGUAUGGGAGACAAUGGGGGGAAAUCUUGCCCAGUGGGACCAAGCCUGAUGAGGAAGCGCCGCGUGCGGGAUGCCGGCCUUCGGGUUGUAAACCGCUUUAGCCUGUGACGACGCGUGAGUGACGGUACCGGGUAAAGAAGCACCGGCUAACUACGUG